RNAcentral lists this transfer RNA (71 nucleotides) under Loxodonta africana (African savanna elephant). It matches the Rfam family "tRNA". Rfam says of the family: Transfer RNA (tRNA) molecules are approximately 80 nucleotides in length. The record is from Rfam by way of RNAcentral. Lineage: Eukaryota; Metazoa; Chordata; Mammalia; Proboscidea; Elephantidae.
GCAGUGGUGGUGCAGUGGUAGAAUCCUCACCUUCCAUGUGGGAGACCUGGGUUUGAUUCCGGGCUGAUGCA